RNAcentral lists this ribosomal RNA (266 nucleotides) under uncultured archaeon. RNAcentral describes it as "partial 16S ribosomal RNA". It matches the Rfam family "Archaeal small subunit ribosomal RNA", at positions 717 to 982 of the family's 1478-position model. The record is from RNAcentral.
AGUCACUGACAUUAGAUACCCGUGUAGUCCCAGCCGUAAACUAUGCGCGUUAGGUGUAUCGGUGACCACGAGUCACCGAGGUGCCGAAGGGAAACCGUGAAACGUGCCGCCUGGGAAGUACGGUCGCAAGGCUAGAAACUUAAAGGAAUUGGCGGGGGAGCACCACAACGGGUGGAGCCUGCGGUUUAAUUGGAUUCAACACCGUAAAACUCACCAGGGAAGACUGUUACAUGAAGGCCGAGAUGAAGACUCUGCUAGAUUUUCAG